UCCUUGGUGGCCUAGCAGUUAAAGUUGCGGCAUUACCACUGCUGUGGCUCAGGUUCAAUCCCUGGCCUGGGAA
This 73-nucleotide transfer RNA is filed under the name Sus scrofa (pig). It matches the Rfam family "tRNA". Rfam says of the family: Transfer RNA (tRNA) molecules are approximately 80 nucleotides in length. Their secondary structure includes four short double-helical elements and three loops (D, anti-codon, and T loops). The record is from Rfam by way of RNAcentral. Lineage: Eukaryota; Metazoa; Chordata; Mammalia; Artiodactyla; Suidae.